Molecule: transfer RNA, 73 nt
Filed under: Candidatus Saganbacteria bacterium
Lineage: Bacteria; Bacillati
Description: tRNA-Thr
Rfam family: tRNA
About the family: Transfer RNA (tRNA) molecules are approximately 80 nucleotides in length.
Source: RNAcentral
GCCCGUGUAGCUCAGCUGGUAGAGCAUUUCCAUGGUAAGGAAAAGGUCGCCGGUUCAAAUCCGGCCGCGGGCU